UGACACUUCACCCAGCUGAUGUCAGGCUACCUGCUGCUUACGUUACUUAUUUUUCUAUUUAGACAGGGUCUCCUGUAGUUCCCGCUAGCCUCAGCCUGACUCCACGUGUUUCCCUCCCAAGUGCUGGAGGUGGCAGAUGAGCGGCACAGUGCCUGGCUGUGUUGACUUUUGAAGAAGGCAGCUGUUUUCUCUGCGGGCAGGAAGGUGGCAGCAGGACGUGUAGGUGUGUUGCUAUGACACCGUGUGUUGCUGUUGUCACGUAACUUCUCUGAAGUCAUAGAUGGCGAGUUAGAUUCUGUGACACAAAGGGAAGCGUGUCUGACUAAUCAUUCCCACACUGCCUUCACUUCUGAGGGCUCCCUGGCCUGGGAGAGUUUGAGCAGAAGUGGUUCCCAGUGGGAAAGUGCGAACUUCAGGAUGGGCCGUGUGGAGACCUCUGGGGCUGAGACGUGACUAACACAUUUCCAUGCUGAAGGAUGUGGCGGACUGGCAAGGGACUAGAAUAAGAGAUGACGUUUAAUCAUCGGUUCCUGUGUGUGAGGGGUUGGUGUUUGUAUGUGGAAGCUGAGGAGGACUCGGACUGGAACUUUCUGUCUCUGCCUCUGAGCUCUGGGAUCACAGCUGUCAACCACCACACUCGGUUUACCUCGUGAGCUCUAGAGAAGCACCCUGCCAACUGUGGUGAAUGCUACCCCUUGAAAUUCUCUUUCCUGUUCUAUUAAGUGACAGGUAGCUAGGAUGGACGGAUAUGCUAAAUUUAUCCCUUUCUAGUAAAACAUGAUGUUUUAUGGAAAAGUACAAAAAUACAAGUAUUAAUGAAUUAAAGACAUCUUGCUAUUUCCUUAUAUUACUUUUAUAUUCAUUAACACAGAAAAAUAUCUAUAUAUUUCUAUAUACUGUAUA
This 903-nucleotide long non-coding RNA is filed under the name Mus spicilegus (steppe mouse). RNAcentral's name for it is "lncRNA (ENSMSIG00000007119.1)". The record is from RNAcentral. Lineage: Eukaryota; Metazoa; Chordata; Mammalia; Rodentia; Muridae.